Molecule: ribosomal RNA, 492 nt
Filed under: uncultured bacterium
Lineage: Bacteria
Description: partial 16S ribosomal RNA
Rfam family: Bacterial small subunit ribosomal RNA
Source: RNAcentral
AGUGAACGCUGGCGGUAGGCCUAACACAUGCAAGUCGAACGGCAGCACAGUAAGAGCUUGCUCUUACGGGUGGCGAGUGGCGGACGGGUGAGGAAUACAUCGGAAUCUACUUUUUCGUGGGGGAUAACGUAGGGAAACUUACGCUAAUACCGCAUACGACCUACGGGUAAAAGCAGGGGAUCUUCGGACCUUGCGCGAUUGAAUGAGCCGAUGUCGGAUUAGCUAGUUGGCGGGGUAAAGGCACACCAAGGCGACGAUCCGUAGCUGGUCUGAGAGGAUGAUCAGCCACACUGGAACUGAGACACGGUCCAGACUCCUACGGGAGGCAGCAGUGGGGAAUAUUGGACAAUGGGCGCAAGCCUGAUCCAGCCAUACCGCGUGGGUGAAGAAGGCCUUCGGGUUGUAAAGCCCUUUUGUUGGGAAAGAAAAGCAGCAGGUUAAUACCCCGCUGUUCUGACGGUACCCAAAGAAUAAGCACCGGCUAACUUCGUG